GAUGAACGCUGGCGGCGUGCCUAAUACAUGCAAGUCGAGCGAACAGACGAGGAGCUUGCUCCUCUGACGUUAGCGGCGGACGGGUGAGUAACACGUGGAUAACCUACCUAUAAGACUGGGAUAACUUCGGGAAACCGGAGCUAAUACCGGAUAAUAUAUUGAACCGCAUGGUUCAAUAGUGAAAGACGGUUUUGCUGUCACUUAUAGAUGGAUCCGCGCCGCAUUAGCUAGUUGGUAAGGUAACGGCUUACCAAGGCAGCGAUGCGUAGCCGACCUGAGAGGGUGAUCGGCCAAACUGGAACUGAGACACGGGCCAGAAUCCUAAGGGAGGCAGCAGUAGGGAAUCUUCCGCAAUGGGCGAAAGCCUGACGGAGCAAAGCCGCGUGAGUGAUGAAGGUCUUCGGAUCGUAAAACUCUGUUAUUAGGGAAGAACAAAUGUGUAAGUAACUAUGCACGUCUUGAAGGUACCUAAUCAGAAAGCCACGGCUAACUACGUG
RNAcentral lists this ribosomal RNA (497 nucleotides) under uncultured bacterium. RNAcentral describes it as "partial 16S ribosomal RNA". It matches the Rfam family "Bacterial small subunit ribosomal RNA", at positions 28 to 507 of the family's 1533-position model. The record is from RNAcentral.